GAGAGCACAGUACAAUGAAAUUUUUAAGCUGUGUUCGGGGGGGGGGGGGAGUUAUUGUCUAUCGUUGGCCUCUAUGGUAGAACCCGUCGGGGAGGCCUGAGAGGCGGUGGUUUACCCUGU
Non-coding RNA from Triticum aestivum (bread wheat), 120 nucleotides. The record is from Rfam. Lineage: Eukaryota; Viridiplantae; Streptophyta; Magnoliopsida; Poales; Poaceae.